AUCAACAGAGGGGACAUUGUUCCAUUCAGCAAAAGGAAGAAAGGUUGUCGUUGUGCAUACUGUGAAAGAAGCCCUACAACUCUUUGCAAGUUACCAUGACAGUCCAUUGGGUGGACAUCUAGGAAUAUUCAAUACGAGGAAUUUGCUGACAUCAAAAUACUAUUGGCCAGGGAUGACAAGAGACAUUGCCAAUUGGGUUGCACGAUGUCUUACUUGCCAGAAACAGGGAAAGGAAUUAAAUAUGGAUACCACCUUGAAAAGCAUAAAGGUCACUCGGAUCUGGGAAUUGUUGGAAAUGGAUUUAAUAGGACCAUUACCAGUAACAAAGGAUGGAUACCAGUAUAUACUGACAGUCAUAGAUUAUCUGUCAAGAUGGCUGGAAGCCUUUCCACUUAGAAGUAAGUCAGCAUACGAGGUGGUAGAGAACAUGUACAAAUUGAUUGUUCGACGUGGAUGCCCAGAGCGGAUACUGACAGAUCAGGGUUCGGAAUUCAA
This is a long non-coding RNA of Trachemys scripta elegans, 495 nucleotides long. RefSeq lists it as uncharacterized. The record is from RefSeq and is a predicted model, not a curated record. The transcript has 3 exons. NCBI's taxonomy places the organism in Eukaryota, Metazoa, Chordata, Testudines, Emydidae.